This 810-nucleotide ribosomal RNA is filed under the name Olea europaea subsp. europaea. RNAcentral describes it as "LSU_rRNA_archaea". It matches the Rfam family "Eukaryotic large subunit ribosomal RNA", at positions 2392 to 3209 of the family's 3401-position model. Lineage: Eukaryota; Viridiplantae; Streptophyta; Magnoliopsida; Lamiales; Oleaceae. The record is from RNAcentral.
AAUCAGCAUGGAAAGAAGACCCUAUUGAGCUUAACUCUAGUCCGACUUUGUGAAAUGACUUCAGAGGUGUAGGAUAAGUGGGAGCCAAAAGGCGAAAGUAAAAUACUACCUCUUUUAACAGUAUUUUACUUAUUUCGUAAAUCGGAGACGGGGCACUACCCCUCUUUUUAGACCCAAGGCUCACUUCGCGGGCUGAUCCGAGCUAAAGACAUUGUCGAUGAGGAGUUUCGCUGAGAUGGCACAUCUGUUAAAAGAUAAUGCAGGUGUCCUAAGAUGAGCUCAACAAGAACAAAAAUUUCGUGUGGAACAGAAGAGUAAAAGCUCGUUUGAUUCUGAUUUAUAGUGCAAAUACGAACCUUGAAAGCGUGGCCUAACGAUCCUUCAGACCUUUGAAAUUUGAAGCUAGAGGUGUCAAAAAAGUUACCACAGGGAUAACUAGUUUGUGGCAGCCAAGCGUUCAUAACAACGUUGCUUUUUUAUACUUCGAUGUCGACUCUUCCUAUCAUUGUAAAGCAAAUUCACGAAGUGUCGGAUUUUUCACCCACCAAUAGGAAAUGUGAGCUGGAUUAUGACUAAAUGUCGACAGGCUAGUUUUAUCCUAUUGAUGAUAGUGUCAUCGUAGUAAUUCAACCUAGUACGAGAGAAACCAUUGAUUCACACAAUUUGUCAUCGCGCUAGGUUGAAAAGCCAGUGGCGUGAAGCUACCAUGCGUUGGAUUAUGACUGAAUGACUCUAAGUUGGAAUUUGGGCUAGAAGUGAUGCGUGCAUCCGCCAUUCACUUGCUGACCCGCGGUAGGGGCCUCACGGCCC